GACGAAGGAUGCAAGCGUUAUCCGGAUUCAUUGGGUUUAAAGGGAGCGUAGGUGGCCUUGUAAGUCAGUGGUGAGAUCCUGUCGCUUAACGAUAGAAUUGCCAUUGAUACUGCAGGGCUUGAGUACAGUUGCCGUUGGCGGAAUAUGACAUGUAGUGGUGAAAUACAUAGAUAUGUCAUAGAACACCGAUUGCGAAGGCAGCUGACGAAACUGUAACUGACACUGAGGCUCGAAAGUGUGGGGAUCAAACAGG
This 253-nucleotide ribosomal RNA is filed under the name uncultured bacterium. RNAcentral describes it as "partial 16S ribosomal RNA". It matches the Rfam family "Bacterial small subunit ribosomal RNA", at positions 524 to 776 of the family's 1533-position model. The record is from RNAcentral.